RNAcentral lists this ribosomal RNA (253 nucleotides) under uncultured bacterium. Its description in RNAcentral is "partial 16S ribosomal RNA". It matches the Rfam family "Bacterial small subunit ribosomal RNA", at positions 524 to 776 of the family's 1533-position model. The record is from RNAcentral.
UACAGAGGUCCCAAGCGUUGUUCGGAUUCAUUGGGCGUAAAGGGUGCGUAGGCGGCGCGGUAAGUCGGGUGUGAAAUCUCGGGGCUUAACUCCGAAACUGCAUUCGAUACUGCCGUGCUUGAGGACUGGAGAGGAGACUGGAAUUCAUGGUGUAGCAGUGAAAUGCGUAGAGAUCAUGAGGAAGACCAGUGGCGAAGGCGGGUCUCUGGACAGUUCCUGACGCUGAGGCACGAAGGUCAGGGGAGCAAACGGG